Molecule: long non-coding RNA, 583 nt
Organism: Myotis myotis
Lineage: Eukaryota; Metazoa; Chordata; Mammalia; Chiroptera; Vespertilionidae
Exons: 3
Source: RefSeq, a predicted model, not a curated record
CGGGACCAGGGCCUGGCCCCGGGAGGAGCCUGCAAUCCAACCGAGCCAACGUGUGACCCUUUUCAGAACUCAGUUCCAAUGAUUCCUCUGAGAAGCCUUCCCUCCUGCAUCCCAUCAGCAAUGGAAAAAAUAUCCUCAGGUGAGGAUUAACAAACAACAAAAAUGUUCCAAGAAUCCAGAUUAGGAGAGAAAAAGAGUCAAGACACAUAACGUGGUGCAAUGCAUAGUUCUUGGCUAGGAUCCCAGAUUGGACAAAAAUUACCUCUGAAACUUCUUGGGACAGUUGGGAAAAUGUGAAUAUCGAUUUGUAUGAGGUCAAGGACAUAUUAAUUUUAAGCGGUUAUUUUGGCAAUGUAUAAAAUGUUGAUUUUUAAAAUCUAUGUACUGAAGUAAAAAAUUAAAACAACCAACUUGCUCUUCCACUCAUACUUUUUACCUUACAAGUUUAGAAUGGGCCCUGGCUGGUGAGGCUUGGUUGUCUGGGUGUUCUCCCAUGCACUAGGAGGUUGCUGGUUCUAUUCCUGGUUAACAGCACACUCCGUAGGGGGUGUACAGGAGGCGGCUGAUUGGUAUUUCUCGCAUG